AGCGAACGCUGGCGGCGUGCUUAACACAUGCAAGUCGAACGGGUGUAGCAAUACAUCCGUGGCGAACGGGUGCGUAACACGUGGAUAACCUUCCUUCAGGUGGGGAAUAACCCAGUGAAAAUUGGGCUAAUACCGCAUAACAAGACGAGGGCUCAUGCUUUUGUCUUCAAAGGCGCAAGUCGCCAGAAGAGGGGAUCCGC
Molecule: ribosomal RNA, 200 nt
Filed under: uncultured bacterium
Lineage: Bacteria
Description: partial 16S ribosomal RNA
Rfam family: Bacterial small subunit ribosomal RNA
Source: RNAcentral